RNAcentral lists this ribosomal RNA (405 nucleotides) under uncultured bacterium. RNAcentral's name for it is "partial 16S ribosomal RNA". It matches the Rfam family "Bacterial small subunit ribosomal RNA", at positions 28 to 526 of the family's 1533-position model. The record is from RNAcentral.
GAUGAACGCUGGCGGCGUGCCUAAUACAUGCAAGUCGAGCGAAGCGGGGACGGGUGAGUAACACGUGUAUAACCCCCUAUAAGACUGGGAUAACUUCGGGAAACCGGAGCUAAACCGGAUACUUACAGCUGAAUCCGUGCUGCAUUCGCUAGUGUGACAGGUAACGGCUUACCAAGGCAACGAUGCAUAGCCUACCUGAGAGGUGGCUCGGCCAAACUGGCACUGAGACACGGUCCAGACUCCUACGGGAGGCAGCGGUAGGGCAUCUUCCGCAAUGGGCGAAAGCCUGACGGAGCAACGCCGGGUGAGUGCUGAAGGUCUUCGGAUCGUAAAUCUCUGUUAUUAGGGAAGCGGUACCUAAUCAGAAAGCCACGGCUAACUACGUGCCAGCAGCCGCGGUAAUUC